Non-coding RNA from Peromyscus maniculatus bairdii (prairie deer mouse), 2559 nucleotides. The record is from RefSeq and is a predicted model, not a curated record. Lineage: Eukaryota; Metazoa; Chordata; Mammalia; Rodentia; Cricetidae.
CUUUGCGCUUCCUGACUGCGCGCAGGCUCUGGACCCCGCGGCUAGCUUUCGGCUUGCAGCAGUCGGGCUGGGGCUCGCCGCCGCCUUUGUUAAUCUGCACGCAGGGCAGGCGGAGCGUCCUAAGGAGAAUGCAGAACUCAUUGUGUUUUCUCAAGGCAUCUGAUAAUGUCACAGAAGAAUCUGUAUUGGUCCAUGCAAAUAUUGUACCCUGAUGAAAAGCACUAAAGGAUACUUGGAAGGAUGUAUGGGAAAUAUGUAUUAUGUGGAGCUGGAGAAAACUGGGCAAAGGUCCAGAUGGGUAAAGCACCUGUCCCUGGGAUUCUUACAGAGCAUUGGCUGUGUACCAGCAGUGAAUAAAGCACAUUAAAUACUGUAUGCAUAUAGAUGCAAAACCAAGAUGUAAUCCAUCUGACAAGCCUGCAAAAGAGAUGAUACCUUCCUUGCCAAGCAUGAAAUAGUCUAAGCUUGGACUGUUUGCUUAAUUUGACAAGUAAUAUAGUUUGUAAAGAGCCAGCAUCUAAGUGAAGUUCUGUCAUUCACUAAGCUCUGGGAAAACUACAACCCACAGUCUUCUCUUCUUGGAGAAUGAUAUCAAAUACCAUGUGUUUAAUUUCUAUAAGCAAUGCUUAGAGAAAUGUUGAAGUUCCCCUGGGAAAUUUCCUGUGCCUUCCCCAAGGAUGAAGAAUACAGGUUUUAUACAGAUUAAUAUUUCUAGCAUUCUAUCUUCAAAGAAAUGUUUAAUAGCCUGAUGGAUUAUGGUGUAGAGCAAAUGACUUCUAUGAAGUGUUCUUUUAGAUGUUUUCAGCACAGCAGAAAAGGACCUCAUAUAUUUUUAGUCUCCUGUCCUCAGUGUAGCUUCCAUUACUCUCUGAGUUUAUCAGGAAGAAGAAUGAUGCUUUGAUUAAAAAAAGAACAUUAUUGCUGCCAUAGUCAGGGCUCACCAAGGGCAGAUCUGCACAUCUUUCUUCUACUCGCUUCCCCAUAAACGUGACAGAAAGCAAUGGUAAAAUGCAUCAGACUAUGACAAUUGUGCAAAGGCUGUUAUACAUCUUCAGCUCCUCAUGAAACACUCACAAAAACAUUUCUAACCAGUGCCAUGUAUAGACCCAAUCAUCUUCAGUUUUCUCCUUUGAAAUAAAAUAGAAAAACAUGCUGAAGGACACAGGUCUACCAACCUUUAGCUCAUCAGCCUAGAGCUGCUAAUUCUUUAGCAUGAUUUUGAGCUUCAAGUAGAGGGCAAAUAAGAACCUUAAUGCAUUCUGUCUUUGCUUGCUCAUUAUUCAUCCAGAGCUGCUCUGCCUCCGUCUAGUUCUCUAUUACUGGAGUUACAGCCAUGAUCUCCAAUUGAUUUGCCUACUUCUAUGUCUUGCCUUCCAAAUGGGUUCUUCACAUCAUUAAGAGUGCUAAGCACAAGGCUCUCUCCACACCUUCCAAGUGGUUGACGUUCUUUCUGUAUUACUUCUUUUGUGCAGUUGUGACCAAAAUACUUGAGAGAACAUCUUAAAAGGUUUCUCCUGGUUUCAGAGAUAUCAGUGUACGGUUCUUUUCACCGCUGUUUCUGUACUCACAAUGAGGCAGAAGCUCAUAGCACCAGGAACAUGGCUAACAGGUAGCAGAGAAGGAAGACAAAUCAAGAACGAGAUAAAGCCCUCCAAGGUUUUCCCCAUGAUCUACUUCCUCCAGGCAGGCCCGGUGCUCACCACCUUUCAGAAAGCACCAUUAGUUGGGGAACAAGAGUUUAACACAUGAACCUCUGGGGACAUAGGACAGUCCUGUCCUGCUCAUCUCCCUACUUCAGCCAAUGAAAUGUGUCCUCUUUCCUCAGUCAUUCACUUCCAGCCAACUUUCUCAAUCUUUUCUUUAAGAUUGCCUGGAUUUGGACAGAUUUGUCAGUUCCUCAUCUUUGACUCUGGGCUUUAUGAUGUUUCCUGUCCAUGUUUGUGAUUUAAUGAGAUCCCUUCAAAGCUAAAACUUGAUGAGUUUCCAGUUGAUUUAAAUAGAAAUGUAAAAAUUUCACAUAAAUCUCUAUGUUAAACUACUGCAAUUUCCACUCUUCUUGUUCAUUAAUGAUAUUUUCCCACAUUAUUCCAAUGAAAUGAUUUCUACUAUCUUUUUUAUUUGUUAUUUUAAAUGUAUAAAAUCUAGAUUAUUACAUGUACAAUAGGAGAAUUUUUGAACAUCUGAAGCAUUCUCUAAUUGUCAUGAAUCUUUCAUUUUAUAUUACAUUAGUAUAAAAGAUUGUGAAUAAUGUUUGUGCAUGUAGUUCUAUGCGUGGCCUCAAGUGUGGGAGCCCAGAAAUAUUCUAACUUGUGGUUUGACUCAAGGUCAGAGAGUCAGAGACUAUGUUGCUCUCCAAGGCUUCAUAAUAGGAUGAAAAGGCAUGGUUACCAGAUGUAUUAUACUUCAAGGCCUAAUCACAAGACACGUUGUCAUGGAGUGUAGUUACCAGGUGUUGUGAAGGGUCUAUACUUGGCUGUACAUUUGUGCUUUGAUCUUGAAAGGGGGAGGUCUUUUGCCUCUCCUCUUGCUAAUGUAUAAAAAGUUCAUUAGAAAUAAACU